UCCUACGGGAGGCAGCAGUAGGGAAUCUUCCGCAAUGGACGAAAGUCUGACGGAGCAACGCCGCGUGAGUGAUGAAGGCUUUCGGGUCGUAAAACUCUGUUGUUAGGGAAGAACAAGUGCUAGUUGAAUAAGCUGGCACCUUGACGGUACCUAACCAGAAAGCCACGGCUAACUACGUGCCAGCAGCCGCGGUA
This 194-nucleotide ribosomal RNA is filed under the name uncultured bacterium. RNAcentral's name for it is "partial 16S ribosomal RNA". It matches the Rfam family "Bacterial small subunit ribosomal RNA", at positions 337 to 522 of the family's 1533-position model. The record is from RNAcentral.